AUGUUGGCCGGGCGACGGUUGUCCCGGUUUAAGCGUGUAGGCUGGUUUUCCAGGCAAAUCCGGAAAAUCAAGGCUGAGGCGUGAUGACGAGGCACUACGGUGCUGAAGCAACAAAUGCCCUGCUUCCAGGAAAAGCCUCUAAGCAUCAGGUAACAUCAAAUCGUACCCCAAACCGACACAGGUGGUCAGGUAGAGAAUACCAAGGCGCUUGAGAGAACUCGGGUGAAGGAACUAGGCAAAAUGGUGCCGUAACUUCGGGAGAAGGCACGCUGAUAUGUAGGUGAAGCGACUUGCUCGUGGAGCUGAAAUCAGUCGAAGAUACCAGCUGGCUGCAACUGUUUAUUAAAAACACAGCACUGUGCAAACACGAAAGUGGACGUAUACGGUGUGACGCCUCCCCGGUGCCGGAAGGUUAAUUGAUGGGGUUAGCGCAAGCGAAGCUCUUGAUCGAAGCCCCGGUAAACGGCGGCCGUAACGAUAACGGUCCUAAGGUAGCGAAAUUCCUUGUCGGGUAAGUUCCGACCUGCACGAAUGGCGUAAUGAUGGCCAGGCUGUCUCCACCCGAGACUCAGUGAAAUUGAACUCGCUGUGAAGAUGCAGUGUACCCGCGGCAAGACGGAAAGACCCCGUGAACCUUUACUAUAGCUUGACACUGAACAUUGAGCCUUGAUGUGUAGGAUAGGUGGGAGGCUUAGAAGUGUGGACGCCAGUCUGCAUGGAGCCGACCCUGAAAUACCACCCUUUAAUGUUUGAUGUUCUAACGUUGACCCGUAAUCCGGGUUGCGGACAGUGUCUGGUGGGUAAUUUGACUGGGGCGGUCUCCUCCUAAAGAGUAACGGAGGAGCACGAAGGUUGGCUAAUCCUGGUCGGACAUCAGGAGGUUAGUGCAAUGGCAUAAGCCAGCUUGACUGCGAGCGUGACGGCGCGAGCAGGUGCGAAAGCAGGUCAUAGUGAUCCGGUGGUUCUGAAUGGAAGGGCCAUCGCUCAACGGAUAAAAGGUACUCCGGGGAUAACAGGCUGAUACCGCCCAAGAGUUCAUAUCGACGGCGGUGUUUGGCACCUCGAUGUCGGCUCAUCACAUCCUGGGGCUGAAGUAGGUCCCAAGGGUAUGGCUGUUCGCCAUUUAAAGUGGUACGCGAGCUGGGUUUAGAACGUCGUGAGACAGUUCGGUCCCUAUCUGCCGUGGGCGCUGGAGAACUGAGGGGGGCUGCUCCUAGUACGAGAGGACCGGAGUGGACGCAUCACUGGUGUUCGGGUUGUCAUGCCAAUGGCACUGCCCGGUAGCUAAAUGCGGAAGAGAUAAGUGCUGAAAGCAUCUAAGCACGAAACUUGCCCCGAGAUGAGUUCUCCCUGACCCUUUAAGGGUCCUGAAGGAACGUUGAAGACGACGACGUUGAUAGGCCGGGUGUGUAAGCGCAGCGAUGCGUUGAGCUAACCGGU
RNAcentral lists this ribosomal RNA (1440 nucleotides) under metagenome. Its description in RNAcentral is "bacterial LSU rRNA". It matches the Rfam family "Bacterial large subunit ribosomal RNA", at positions 1484 to 2899 of the family's 2925-position model. The record is from RNAcentral.